This 591-nucleotide ribosomal RNA is filed under the name Triticum aestivum (bread wheat). Its description in RNAcentral is "partial small subunit ribosomal RNA". The record is from RNAcentral. Lineage: Eukaryota; Viridiplantae; Streptophyta; Magnoliopsida; Poales; Poaceae.
AUGAAUUCACUAAUCUGGAACUACCGGGGGGCGGGGAAACGCCAGACAGUUCGUGAGGUGUUGGCCCUCUCAAAAGCCAAUAUCGCCAAGCUUUUCUUCCUCUGUGAGACAAGACAAGUAGCUGGUAAGAUGGAGAAGUUAAGACGGAGGCUUGGUUUGAAGGGUUUUUAUGGUGUGAACAACUGUGGUUUGAGUGGUGGACUUGCAUUGUAUUGGGAUGAGUCUUUGAUAGUUACCGUGUUGGAUUCGUGUCAACGGUAUAUUGAUGUUUCUGUGGAAGAUAGAGGUGGAGAUAAAAAGUGGCAGAUGACAUUUGUGCAUGGCGAGCGAAGAGUUGAGAAUAGAUACAAAAUGUGGUAUCAUCUAACAAGGCUGAGAGGGGUCGCGCAAGAACCAUGGCCUGUUUGUGGCGACUUUAAUGAAACUUUGUGGCAGCAUGAACAUAUGUCGAGAACAUUGCGGUCAGAAUCUCAGAUGGAAGCUUUCAGGGACUUCCUAUUAUUAUGCGAGUUGGAAGACCUUGGUUUCUCAGGGGUCCCUUUACAUACGACAAUGGCGAACUUGGUAAUAACAAUGUACGUGUGCGGUUGA